AGAACCUGAAACCGUGUGCUUACAAGUAGUCAGAGCCCGUUAAUGGGUGAUGGCGUGCCUUUUGUAGAAUGAACCGGCGAGUUACGAUUUGAUGCAAGGUUAAGCAGUAAAUGUGGAGCCGUAGCGAAAGCGAGUCUGAAUAGGGCGUUUAGUAUUUGGUCGUAGACCCGAAACCAGGUGAUCUACCCUUGGUCAGGUUGAAGUUCAGGUAACACUGAAUGGAGGACCGAACCGACUUACGUUGAAAAGUGAGCGGAUGAACUGAGGGUAGCGGAGAAAUUCCAAUCGAACCUGGAGAUAGCUGGUUCUCUCCGAAAUAGCUUUAGGGCUAGCCUCAAGUGAUGAUUAUUGGAGGUAGAGCACUGUUUGGACGAGGGGCCCCUCUCGGGUUACCGAAUUCAGACAAACUCCGAAUGCCAAUUAAUUUAACUUGGGAG
This 437-nucleotide ribosomal RNA is filed under the name Staphylococcus aureus. Its description in RNAcentral is "partial 23S ribosomal RNA". It matches the Rfam family "Bacterial large subunit ribosomal RNA", at positions 545 to 983 of the family's 2925-position model. Lineage: Bacteria; Bacillati; Bacillota; Bacilli; Caryophanales; Staphylococcaceae. The record is from RNAcentral.